UCUCUCCCAGUGAGCUUGUCUAUCUGCUCCAGAAAGUGUGGAGAGGAAGAGUCGAACUAGAUCUUCAGCUGGAUUUCCCAUGUGAAUGAGCUGAAAA
Molecule: non-coding RNA, 97 nt
Organism: Caenorhabditis elegans
Lineage: Eukaryota; Metazoa; Nematoda; Chromadorea; Rhabditida; Rhabditidae
Source: Ensembl